GUGCUCACUUUGGCAGUACAAAAAUUAAAAUUGCAACAAUACAGAGAAGAUUAGCAUGGCCCCUGUGCAAGGCUGGCAUGCAAAUUCAUGUAGUGUUCCAUAUGUUU
Molecule: small nuclear RNA, 107 nt
Organism: Meriones unguiculatus (Mongolian gerbil)
Lineage: Eukaryota; Metazoa; Chordata; Mammalia; Rodentia; Muridae
Source: Ensembl